RNAcentral lists this ribosomal RNA (109 nucleotides) under Ailuropoda melanoleuca (giant panda). The record is from RNAcentral. Lineage: Eukaryota; Metazoa; Chordata; Mammalia; Carnivora; Ursidae.
GUCUAUGGCCAUACCACCCUGAAUGCACCCGAUCUCGUCUGAUCUCAGAAGCUAAGCAGGGUCAGGCCUGGUUAGUACUUGGAUGGGAGAUUCUCUCUCUCCUUCUCCC